Molecule: ribosomal RNA, 251 nt
Filed under: uncultured bacterium
Lineage: Bacteria
Description: partial 16S ribosomal RNA
Rfam family: Bacterial small subunit ribosomal RNA
Source: RNAcentral
UACGUAGGGUGCGAGCGUUGUCCGGAAUUAUUGGGCGUAAAGAGCUUGUAGGCGGUUUGUCGCGUCUGCUGUGAAAAUCCGGGGCUCAACCCCGGACUUGCAGUGGGUACGGGCAGACUAGAGUGUGGUAGGGGAGAUCGGAAUUCCUGGUGUAGCGGUGAAAUGCGGCAGAAUAUCAGGAGGAACACCGGUGGCGAAGGCGGAUCUCUGGGCCAGUUACUGACGCUGAGGAGCGAAAGCGUGGGGAGCGA